GAGUUUGAUCAUGGCUCAGGAUGAACGCUAGCGGCAGGCCUUAUACAUGCAAGUCGAACGGUAACAUUGGUGCUUGCACCAGAUGACGAGUGGCGCACGGGUGCGUAACGCGUAUGCAACCUACCUUUUACUAGAGUAUAGCCCAGAGAAAUUUGGAUUAAUCCUCUAUAAUAUCUUUUAAUUUCAUGAUUAAUUGAUUAAAGUUUUAACGGUAAAAGAUGGGCAUGCGUCCUAUUAGUUUGUAGGUGAGGUAACGGCUCACCUAGACUACGAUAGGUAGGGGCCCUGAGAGGGGGAUCCCCCACACUGGUACUGAGACACGGACCAGACUCCUACGGGAGGCAGCAGUAAGGAAUAUUGGACAAUGGACGAAAGUCUGAUCCAGCCAUGCCGCGUGCAGGAUGAAAGCCCUAUGGGUUGUAAACUGCUUUUAUACAGGAAGAAACACUCCGACUUGUCGGAGCUUGACGGUACUGUAAGAAUAAGGAUCGGCUAACUCCGUGCCAGCAGCCGCGGUAAUACGGAGGAUCCAAGCGUUAUCCGGAAUCAUUGGGUUUAAAGGGUCCGCAGGCGGUCUUUUAAGUCAGAGGUGAAAGCCUACAGCUCAACUGUAGAACGGCCUUUGAUACUGAAAGACUUGAGUUAUUGUGAAGUGGUUAGAAUGUGUGGUGUAGCGGUGAAAUGCAUAGAUAUCACACAGAAUACCGAUUGCGAAGGCAGAUCACUAACAAUAUACUGACGCUCAUGGACGAAAGCGUGGGGAGCGAACAGGAUUAGAUACCCUGGUAGUCCACGCCGUAAACGAUGGAUACUAGCUGUUCGUCUAACAUUGGUUAGAUGAGUGGCUAAGCGAAAGUGAUAAGUAUCCCACCUGGGGAGUACGGUCGCAAGACUGAAACUCAAAGGGAUUUGACGGGGGCCCGCACAAGCGGUGGAGCAUGGUGGUUUAAUUCGAUGAUACGCGAGGAACCUUACCAGGGCUUAAAUGUAGUGGGGACAGUCUAGAAGNAUAGACCCUUCUUCGGACUCAUUACNNNGCUGCAUGGNNGUCGUCAGCUCNNNGCCCGUGGAGGGUGUUCAGGGUUAAGUUCUUAUNAACGANGCGC
RNAcentral lists this ribosomal RNA (1106 nucleotides) under uncultured bacterium. RNAcentral's name for it is "bacterial SSU rRNA". It matches the Rfam family "Bacterial small subunit ribosomal RNA", at positions 9 to 1099 of the family's 1533-position model. The record is from RNAcentral.